RNAcentral lists this ribosomal RNA (253 nucleotides) under uncultured bacterium. RNAcentral's name for it is "partial 16S ribosomal RNA". It matches the Rfam family "Bacterial small subunit ribosomal RNA", at positions 524 to 776 of the family's 1533-position model. The record is from RNAcentral.
UACGUAGGGUUCAGGCGUUAAUCGGAAUUACUGGGCGUAAAGCGCGCGUAGGCGGCUUUGUAAGUUAGAGGUGAAAGCCCGGGGCUCAACUCCGGAACUGCCUUUAAGACUGCAUCGCUUGAAUCCGGGAGAGGUGAGUGGAAUUCCGAGUGUAGAGGUGAAAUUCGUAGAUAUUCGGAAGAACACCAGUGGCGAAGGCGGCUCACUGGACCGGUAUUGACGCUGAGGUGCGAAAGCGUGGGGAGCAAACAGG